GGGACGGUAGCUCAGUUGGUUAGAGCGCCGAGCUUAUACCUCGGUGGUCGAUGGUUCGAUUCCAUCCCGUCCCACCA
This 77-nucleotide transfer RNA is filed under the name Candidatus Uhrbacteria bacterium. RNAcentral describes it as "tRNA-Ile". It matches the Rfam family "tRNA". Rfam says of the family: Transfer RNA (tRNA) molecules are approximately 80 nucleotides in length. Their secondary structure includes four short double-helical elements and three loops (D, anti-codon, and T loops). The record is from RNAcentral. Lineage: Bacteria; Candidatus Uhriibacteriota.